Molecule: ribosomal RNA, 405 nt
Filed under: uncultured prokaryote
Description: bacterial SSU rRNA
Rfam family: Bacterial small subunit ribosomal RNA
Source: RNAcentral
UGGGGAAUAUUGGGCAAUGGGCGCAAGCCUGACCCAGCAACGCCGCGUGAGGGAAGAAGGUUUUCGGAUUGUAAACCUCUGUCCUUAGGGACGAAAAAAAUGACGGUACCUAAGGAGGAAGCUCCGGCUAACUACGUGCCAGCAGCCGCGGUAAUACGUAGGGAGCAAGCGUUGUCCGGAAUUACUGGGCGUAAAGGGUGCGUAGGUGGCCAUGCAAGUCAGAUGUGAAAUCCCCGGGCUUAACUCGGGGGGUGCAUUUGAAACUGCGUGGCUUGAGUGCAGGAGAGGAAAGCGGAAUUCCUAGUGUAGCGGUGAAAUGCGUAGAUAUUAGGAGGAACACCAGUGGCGAAGGCGGCUUUCUGGACUGUAACUGACACUGAGGCACGAAAGCGUGGGGAGCAAACA